GCCUACGGGGCGCAGCAGUGAGGAAUAUUGGUCAAUGGCCGAGAGGCUGAACCAGCCAAGUCGCGUGAGGGAUGACGGCCCUACGGGUUGUAAACCUCUCUUGUCGGGGAGCAAGACCCGCCUCGUGCAGGCGGAGCGAGAGUACCCGAAGAAAAAGCAUCGGCUAACUCCGUGCCAGCAGCCGCGGUAAUACGGAGGAUGCGAGCGUUAUCCGGAUUUAUUGGGUUUGAAGGGUGCGCAGGCGGACCAUCAAGUCAGCGGUAAAAUCGUGGGGCCCAACCCCUUCCCGCCGUUGAAACUGGCGG
This 305-nucleotide ribosomal RNA is filed under the name uncultured bacterium. Its description in RNAcentral is "bacterial SSU rRNA". It matches the Rfam family "Bacterial small subunit ribosomal RNA", at positions 337 to 639 of the family's 1533-position model. The record is from RNAcentral.